RNAcentral lists this ribosomal RNA (405 nucleotides) under uncultured bacterium. RNAcentral's name for it is "partial 16S ribosomal RNA". It matches the Rfam family "Bacterial small subunit ribosomal RNA", at positions 28 to 526 of the family's 1533-position model. The record is from RNAcentral.
GAUGAACGCUGGCGGCGUGCCUACUACAUGCAAGUCGAGCGAAGCGGGGACGGGUGCGUAACACGUGGAUAAACUCCUAUACGACUGGGCUAACUUAGGGAAAACGGUACUAAACCGGAUCCUUAUCGCUGGAUCCGCGCUGCAUUAGCUCGUGGGUAAGGUAACGGCUUAACAAGGCAACGAUGCAUAGCCGACCUGAGAGGUUGAUCGGCCACACUGGAACUGAGACACGGUCCAGACUCCUACGGGAGGCAGCAGUAGGGAAUCGUCCGCAAUGGGCGAAAGCCUGACGGAGCAACGCCGCGUGAGUGAUGAAGGUCUUCGGAUCGUAAAACUCUGUUAUUAGGGAAGCGGUACCUAAACAGAAAGCCACGGCUAACUACGUGCCAGCAGCCGCGGUAAUUC